Molecule: ribosomal RNA, 372 nt
Filed under: uncultured organism
Description: bacterial SSU rRNA
Rfam family: Bacterial small subunit ribosomal RNA
Source: RNAcentral
CGAACCGAGCGAACGUUGUUCGGAAUCACUGGGCUUAAAGGGUGCGUAGGCGGGCUGCCAAGUUUGGGGUGAAAUCCUCCGGCUCAACCGGGGAAGUGCCUUGAAUACUGGCGGUCUCGAGGGAGGUAGGGGCGUGCGGAACUAACGGUGGAGCGGUGAAAUGCGUUGAUAUCGUUAGGAACUCCGGUGGCGAAGGCGGCACGCUGGACCUCUUCUGACGCUGAGGCACGAAAGCCAGGGGAGCGAACGGGAUUAGAUACCCCGGUAGUCCUGGCCCUAAACGUUGAGAACUAGGUAGCAGGCCGGACAUGGGCUUGCUGCCGGAGCAAAAAGUGCUAAGUUCUCCGCCUGGGGAGUAUGGUCGCAAGGCUG